GCAUGGGUUUGGAUUUAGGGCAGGCCUGUCACCCUGGGCCUCUCAUAGUGUCCCAUGCCAGGCCAAACUAUGGCUUUAAGACCAUUGCCUAACCUCUGUGCCUGUAGGCUGCUAGCACUAAUGUGGGUUGUGCUUUA
Nannospalax galili (Upper Galilee mountains blind mole rat) is the source of this 137-nucleotide small nucleolar RNA. Lineage: Eukaryota; Metazoa; Chordata; Mammalia; Rodentia; Spalacidae. The record is from Ensembl.